RNAcentral lists this ribosomal RNA (320 nucleotides) under uncultured Prevotella sp. RNAcentral's name for it is "bacterial SSU rRNA". It matches the Rfam family "Bacterial small subunit ribosomal RNA", at positions 28 to 339 of the family's 1533-position model. Lineage: Bacteria; Pseudomonadati; Bacteroidota; Bacteroidia; Bacteroidales; Prevotellaceae. The record is from RNAcentral.
GAUGAACGCUAGCUACAGGCUUAACACAUGCAAGUCGAGGGGCAUCAUGGUCAAAGCUUGCUUUGACUGAUGGCGACCGGCGCACGGGUGAGUAACGCGUAUCCAACCUUCCCUAUACUAAGGAACAGCCCGGCGAAAGUCGGAUUAAUGCCUUAUGUUCUCCUUGGAUGGCAUCUGAUGAGGAGCAAAGAUUCAUCGGUAUAGGAUGGGGAUGCGUCUGAUUAGGCAGUAGGCGGGGUAACGGCCCACCUAGCCGACGAUCAGUAGGGGUUCUGAGAGGAAGGUCCCCCACAUUGGUACUGAGACACGGACCAAACUCC